Molecule: transfer RNA, 72 nt
Filed under: Camelus ferus (Wild Bactrian camel)
Lineage: Eukaryota; Metazoa; Chordata; Mammalia; Artiodactyla; Camelidae
Rfam family: tRNA
About the family: Transfer RNA (tRNA) molecules are approximately 80 nucleotides in length. Their secondary structure includes four short double-helical elements and three loops (D, anti-codon, and T loops).
Source: Rfam by way of RNAcentral
GAGGGUAUAGCUCAGUAGCAGAGUGCAUGCCUAGCAUGCAUGAGGUCCUGGGUUCAAUCCCCAGUACUUCCA